CUUUACUCUAGGUGGCGACAGAGCACGGUGACUGGAGAUGUGACAGGUAUUUCUCAUCAAGCCUCAUCAUCUGAGCAGUAUAAGAGGAGCCUGCUCUCUGUACUUCGGUGCCUGAGUGUUAACCUGACUGGUGUGUCCUGGAUUCCCCUCCAGUUCGCUACCUGGUUUCCUGCCAACUUCAAGUAUUCCAGAAAACCUAUUCAGACAAACUCCAGCUGGCUGCAUUGUGGUUCCUCUCCUGAGAAAUCCUACAACAAACCCUGCUCACCCUCCACCGUGCUCGCCACCCCAAGUGCCCACACGAGUGAUAUACUUACCUCCUGGAAAUCACCUCCCUCACGCAAACGGUUGUCAGCUUGACCCCGGUCCAUCAUCUGUGGGCAGUACUCGUCCUCCCAGAUGCCGCGCCCUUCUUCCCCCCCCUGGUGUUUCAUCUACCUUCUACCUUCGAGGUCCUCCUGGUCCCGGAUUCCUGCAAAAAUUAUCUUACUGUUACAAUAAACCUGUUAAACCUUC
Molecule: long non-coding RNA, 516 nt
Organism: Girardinichthys multiradiatus
Lineage: Eukaryota; Metazoa; Chordata; Actinopteri; Cyprinodontiformes; Goodeidae
Exons: 3
Source: RefSeq, a predicted model, not a curated record